GAAGUGUGAAAAUUUUGAAUUGAGAUCAACGGUUUAUUCAUUAGAUAUUGAGGUUUAAAUCUGUCAUAGGAAUUACUAGGAUUUGGAUUAGAGUUUGGUUAGGGUUUGAUUUAGGAUUUGGAUUAGGAUUUGGUUAGGGUUUGAUUUAAGGUUUGGUUUAGGAUUUAGGAUUUGGAUUAGCAUUUAGGAUUGGAUUAGUGUUUGGAUUAGGAUUUAGGAUUUGGUUAGGAUUUGAUUUAGGAUUUGGUUUAGGAUUUAGGAUUUAGAUUAGUGUUUAGGAUUGGAUUAGGAUUUAGAUUAGGGUUUAGGAUUUGUUUAGGGUUUGAUUUAGGGUUUAGAUUAGGAUUUGGACUAGAGUUUAGGGUUUGGUUAGGGUUUGAUUUAGGGUUUGGAUUAGGGUUUGGUUAGGAUUUGAUUUAAGGUUUGAUUUAGGGUUUAGGAUUGGAUUAGGGUUUGGUUUAGAGUUUGAUUUAGGAUUUGGUUUAGGAUUUAGGGUUUGGAAUAGGGUUUAAUUCAAGAUUUAUUUAGGAUUUGACUUUGGGUUUAGAAAUUAUUAAGGUUUAAGAUUUAAUUAGGUUUGGUCUAAAGUUGAGUGAAAUUCAAUAAGGUUUGUUUCUGUAAGAUAUUGGUUAAAUAGACUAAUAGUCCAUAGAAUAGUCAGUUUAGGAGGAUAGAUGGUUAACUUAGUUAUUAAAAGUGGUUAAUUACAUGAUUACGAUUAGAAUCUGGGAAUAGAGAGUAAGUAUAUAGGAGUUGUAGAAGUUAGUCUGAGUGCCAAACUAUGAUAGUCAUGAGUUGGGAUUAAGCUUGGUACUACAUCUUUGUUUCUUUAUUUUUUUUUUUUGUUGAAGAGUAAUAGAUGGUUUCUGAAUACUAAAAAGUGAGUCUGUAGAAUAAAUCAGAGAUUGAUUUAUGAGUUAUUGAUUAUGUAAUUGGAGCAGUGAGUGAUUGAAUUAUAUGAAGAGUUAUUAGAAGAUAAUGAUUGUUGUUUAUUGAAAGUUGUGUGUGUUUCGACAAAAAAAGUUGGUGAUUACAAAAAUUAUGUGAAUUCAGAUUGGUUAGAUUGAAGUUGGCUAUUUUUGGUAUUGGAUGGAAAUUAUGUAUUAUGAAUCCCAUAGUUGAUCUUGGCUACUAAAAAAUUUCUUAAAUAAAAAGCUAUUAGAUGAAUUUUAUCAUCUAUUUUUAUUUGUGAUAAUACAACAUCCAAAGCAAAGUUUGAUGCAUCUAUUUCUAUAAAAAAAAAUAGCUUAAAAAAGUCAAUGUAAUAUGAGAUUGAUACAAAAAUAAAGAUUGUCUUUAAAACUUCAAAUCUGCUUCUACUUCAUGAUUCCAUUGAAGUUUGUUUUUAUAAGUCAAACGUGUAACUAGAGCUGCAAUUGUGGAUUUGUUUUAAGAAUGGCUCCAUUAUCUAGAAGGCACUUCUAAUCAGUCAUUGUUUACACUAACUACAAGAAUCUUAAAUAAUUUAAGUUAACACAUAUUUUAAAUAGUUGCAAAGUUUGUUGAAGCAUAUUUUUCUUAAGAUUUGAUUUUAAGAUCACUUAUCGACUCAAAAAAUAAUAGGGGUUGUAAAAUGCCUUUUUUAGAUAUUUUUAUCUUACACCAAAAAAAAGAGACAUAUCUUUUGAUCAAUAAAGAAUGAUUCAAUUUGUAUUAAGAUUUUGAAGAACUCUUUUCAAGUUUUUAAAAGAGGAUAAUAAGUUAUCUUUGGCUUUUUAUCCUUAAAUUGAUGGAAAAAUAGAACAUUGUCAUAUUACAUGUUGCCUUCUUUGGAAAUGCAUUGGAUAUCUGGUUGUAAAAGGUGAGGUUGUAUUUUACAAGUAUUCAAGAAUCAUAAUAUGUUUCAUUCUUAUAAGAAGAAUAUACUUUGAAUUUUCAAUCAAAGUACUUAAAUCCAAUACAAAGUACUCAAAAAUACUCUUUUGAGUAAUCUCAAUCAUACAUAAACUCUAAUUAUCUUAUUACUUUCAUAAUUAUAUAAUUUUGAUUUUUCUUUACAAGCCUUAAUCAUAAUCAAAAUACUUUAGUUAGCUUUAGCUUCUAAUUUAAUUUUCUACUUUGAAAAAUAAAUUGCAUACGAAUGCCACUAUAAGUCUUUUAUGUAAAUAAGAGAAUUUACCUCAAUCCAAUUUAGAAAUCGUGAAAAAAUGCCCAAAAAACCACAUUGAAGUUACUUGGCUGUUAACUUGAAAGUUGAUAUAAAUGUUUUAGUAGUGAUUUUUCUUUCUUCAAUUAUUAACUUCAAGUCAAAAUUGGUGUAUAGCUUCAUCUUUAAGUCUUCUAAUACCAUGCCAAAUUUUAGUUUGAUCCAAUUAGUAAAUCUAUAGAUAUUAUAGAAAUCCUAUCUAACCCCAAACUGCCAACUUCUAAUACCUUCUUGUACCAAAAUCCAGAUAUCUAUCAACUCCAUUAUUAGAUUAUUACAAAAUUUCAUAUCCACUUUGCACACCUAACUAUCCAAACACUAUCAAAUUUUGAAUUAUAGAUGUGACACCAAUUACACAAACUAGCCAAGAAUACUAAUCCUAAUUGUAUUGCAUAAAUCCCAAAUUAUCAUACAAAUCUUAACUUUGAACAAAAAUUUUCAAGUCAUUCUAAAUCCUUUGAAAAAAAGCCUUAUAUCUUUAAAAUCAACUUAAAGCUAGCUCUGAAAUCCUAAUUGCUGAUCUUUAGAUGCUUUAUUUUUCCUUUGGCAAUCGUUUUAGUGGCUAUAGAUCUGAUUUUGUCCCCAUUUCACAAAUGGUCAACCUCCGGAUAUCAAUUGAAUCUAUCUUGGGGAUUUUUUAGCCCAAUCCUACUCUCAAUUUAAUCUUAGUAUCAACCAUCCUAAUUAUUUAUCUCUUUUAAUUUAAUUUUAUCAAUUUAUGGUCUUUUUAAGAUAGUAAAAUAGUCUCUAUAGUCUAAAAGGUAAAAUUAUUAACCAAUCUUUAAUCUACUAUCUAUUAAGAUAAGAAAUGAAAUAAGAGGCUUUUAUAAAAGCCAUGUUUAAAUAUCUUGAAUUAUUAUUAAACUAAGAUAAUUAGAUAUUAAUUAGAAAUUUAUUUUUGAUUAUAUUUUCACUAUAUACUUGUAUUACAAUACAACAUCCACUCCUUCUAAAUUUGCGCAUCCUCCGAUAUGCAUCAAAUGAACUAUGUGUCAUAAUUGGCAUAACACAAUCAUUUCAUUUUUUGUAUCAAAUCCUUCAUUAUUAUUUUUACUAUUUAUUUCAAAACCAUUAUCUUCUUCAAUAAUAUUGAUAUUUUCAACAUAAUCUUCUACAUUGAUUUUUCUAUCUUGUCUUUUGAAAAUAUUUACUCACUUCUCAAUAACAUGUAUCUUCAACCUCAUACUAUCCAACUCCCUUGAUGAAUAUGUGGCAUUAUGAUGAACCAUUACUACCAUGUAUGAUCUAAACUAAUAUUUUGAAAACUUCUCCAUAUCAUUAUAUUGGUUAUAUAGAUUGCUAUCAUAAAUAAGUAUCUAAUUAUUUUCUUCAAUUGCUCUAGGUCUCAAUCAAUGUUGCUUAUGAAAUCAAGUCUUACUUCCUAACCUUGCUUUUUGUAAUUUUUCUAAUGUUAGUUCUGUAUCUUCCAAUCUUUGUUUAAGUUGUCAAAUUCUAAUAGCGAAUAAUUCCUCCCUUAUCAAUCCAUCUUUCCAUAGUAGCAUACUCCAAGUUGGCACAUGUUCUUCAAUUGGCUUAAUUGAUUUUUAACUUGUCAUAAAUUCUACCAACAUAUAUCUUAUCACUGAACUAUGUAUUAUUUGAUCAGUCCAUAAUGUAUAAGGUAGAAGUCGAGUCUAUUCUCUCACUCUUCCAUUGCAAGCUUUAAUCAAGGUUUUUAUAAUUGGUGGAUGUCUACAUUCCCUCUUUGCAUUCCCCUCUAGAUUAUAAGUAGUGGUCAAUGAUACUUUAAUUCUACAUCUCUUAAAGAAUUCAUGAGCUUCAUGUACAUUUAAUUGUCCAUAAUAUGCAGUGAUCUUUCCUAUACAUCUAUAGUGGCAGAUAACUUUCUUAAGUAAAAACCUACAAAUUUACUCUAUGGACUUUGUUCUUAGUGCCCUGCCUUCUACUUGGUUUGAUAAAUCUUCAUGAGCCACAACUAAAUAUUUCAUUUGCCAUAGUUUCAUUAGCAUAAUAACCAAAUCCAUGAGCCAUUUAAAAUGAAUAGCCAAAGCAUAUAUUAGAUAUAAAUCAUCUCAAUGUACUAUAUUUGAAUUCAUCUAACAAGAUAUAUAAGAUUCUAUAAAUGAAACUACAUCUUGAUAUAUAUUCUUCUAUUAAUAUUUUUCAUUCAAUUUAGCAAAAAUAGCCCAAAUUUUUCUAUGCUCCACCUAUAGACUAUCAUAAAAUUCCUUGAAUAGUCUUUGUUAAUCUUUUUUGAUAUCUACUACUUAUUAUGGCAUUUCAAUAUUUGAUUUUUGUCUCUUCUAUAGAAAUCCUCCUUGUAAUAUAAACCUAUAUGUUUUAUUUCUUGAUUUGUUUAAAUUUUUCAAUCAACCAAUUAGUAUGCUUGAUUAAUGUACUAAAAUAAUGUCUAAUAUCUAAUAACUCUUCUUCAUAAUCUAUUUCAUGAAAUGACUUACCUUUCUUAUUUAAUUGUGUAACAAAAUAAAAUUUUGUACCCAUAUCAUCAAUAUCCUUAAUUAUCUCAUCUUCUCUAUCAUAUAUUGUUUAAGAUAAUAUAUCUUCUACCAAAUUGUCUUUUCCUGCAACAUGCCUAAAUUUUGGAUUUAAUUACUAUAUAUAAGCAAUCUAUCUCAACAUUACAAUAACUGAUGUUAUAUAAUUAAUAAUCAUUCUAAGUAAAGGCAAGCAAUCUAUUUCAAUUACCACCAUUAUUCCAAUAAAAUCAUCUUUUUUAGCUUUCAUAGCUGAAACAACUUCCUAUAAUUCUCUUUUCACCUGAGAAUAUGCAUGUUGGCGAGUACUUAAAACCUUAGUUUCAAAUUGUACUACAAAUCUGUAUCCAUUUGAAUCAUUUUAAUCAUCUAAUAGCAAUCGGACUAGUAUUCACAAUAAGAAUCACAAUUCUAUUGUACUCAUAAUCAAUUUUUCUCAACAUUGGAGGUGAUGUUAAUAAUUUUUUAAAACUUUGCACUACUUUAAUAUGCUUUUUUUUCCAUUUAAAUCAAUAGUCCUUGCAUAAUAGUUUAUACAAUGGAUCAGAUAUAUAAGUAUAGUAAAAAAUCCAAAUACAAUAAAAUACACAUGCAUCUAAAAACCUACAAACCUUUAUUAAAGAAUUGCAAUAUUUUUUUAGUCUCUCAAUUACAUCAAUCAUGGUUGGAUCUGAUUUUCUUCCAUAAAAUCCAAAUAAAUGUCCAAUAAUUACAACCUCUUAUACUCCAAAUGUAGAUUUUAUACUUGAUAAUGUAAGAUGGACUUCUUCAAGUCAAAUCAAUAUUUUUUUAUAAUCUUAUAUAUAAUCAGUAACAUACUUGUGACACCUCUUCUUAUAUAAAGUUUUUUUUUUUUUUUUUUUUUUAAUACUCUUUAAUAGGAACAACAUCUAAAAAAGGCAUAGUCUUUUCAAGAAUAAAAUCCCUCAAUACCUUGUUCAUCUCGUUUAUCAUAUAAGCAACUGAGUUAAUUGUGCCUUGAGGAAGAGUACACAUUCUAAUUAGCUUAAGUGGUGUUUUCAUCAUUCUCAUAUCUCUACUCUCUUUUAUAAGUUGAAAUUAGUCAUAGUCCAAAUACAAAUCACCCAUUGAAUAGAUUGCCUUUCCUUCAAAUACUUCAGUAAAUUCAUCUACUAUUCAUCUAAUUCCUACAUUUUUGAUAGUUACUGCAUUUAUUGGCUGCAUAUCUUGAAUAAAUUGUAAUGAUCCAUUUUUCUUAGGCAUUGUAAAUCAGUGACUAAAAUAUGGUACAAAAAAGGGCUCCAAAAUUUUUAUCUUCAUCUUUUCUUUCAAUAAUUCCAUGAAGCUUAGAAAAUGUGUCCUUGGUACUGGAAUUGGUCUCAAAUUCUAAGGUACAUGCGGUAUAGUAAAAAUAACCAUAUAUUGUUGAAGCAAGAGUUUGUUUUGGAUAGACACAAGGUCCUUCUUUGCAUUCAAGUUGGCUCUAAUAUGCACAAAACCUUCUUAGAUUCUCCUUUGUGUAUUUAGAAAACUAUAUUUGUAAUAAACCAAUAAACUUGAAGCUUGAAAAUUCAUAAUUCAAGAUCUAACCAUUCAAAUAAGCUUAAAAUUUGGAAGUAUAGAAUUUACAUCUUUUAUCAUUAAUAUACAAAUUUUAACCCUCUAUUUUAUUACUAAUCGUCUCAUAUCACCAAAUCCUUAAAAGAUAUUUUUGAAAGUCAAAACCAAAUUAAAAACUUAAAAAUUAAUAUCUCAAGAUCCAGCUAUUCAAAUAAGCUCAAAUUUUGGGAGUAAAAAACUUACACCUUUGAACAUUAUUAUAAAAAUUUUCAGCUUCAAAUUUAUUAUUGAUUGUUUGAUAUCACCAAAAUCGUAGCAAGUACCUUUGAAAGUCAAAACCCAAGAUACCUAAGAAAAAAUUUCGUCAUUUCUCCCAAGUCAGAGUCUCAAUUGAUAUGAGAUUUUAGACAUAGGCUUUUUAUAUCAUAAGUAACCUAUAUAAAAAAUAUGAGCUUUAAAUUUGUCUUAAAGUUCAAGUUCUAGCUUAAAACCAAAACCCUCUAUUUCUCUAAUUUCUUCAAAAUCCUAGUUUUAGUUUAUUGGUUUUAACUAGCUAUAUCUCAUUCAUUCUAGAAUCAAUUCUAUCAAUCUUUGAACAAAAAAUAUUUAGCUUAAAGUCUAGUUUUUAAUCUAAUUUCUUAAUUUCAUGUUAGUAUCUUAAAACUCCUAAUAUGCAUGGAAAAGUAAUAGUAGGUAUCAAAUUAGUAGCCUAAGUUUAAACAAGCAUAACUCUCUAAUUGGAGCUCCAAUUCAUGCAUUUUUUUACCUAAACUCAUACCAAGAAGUUCAUUUUUCUAAAACCCUCUUUUCAACUUGUAAAAAAAAACUCCUAUUUCUUGCUUUCGAGCUCGCCAAAGAAGUCACAACCAAGGUCUUUAAAGUCUAAGUCAAAAACUAAUAGUUUAAACUCAAAAUAAUACCAAAUCUAAUCCUCUAAGUCAACACUAUUAAUGGCAGCCAACUAUUGCUAUCCAAAUUUCUAUUUAUCUUUAAUAAAAACCUAAAUACAACUUCAAAGUCAAAGUUCUUCUUACAUCUACAAAUAUAACUCUAAAUCUACUAAAAUCGAAGAUUAAAAAGAAAGUAAAAGAAAUAAAAGAAGUUUUUAAGGCUAAACCAAAGAUAAAGUUAAAGCUAAAGAUAAAAUAAAAUUUAGAAAAAAUUUCAAAAAAAAAAAAGAAGAAAGUGAGAAAUAUUUUCUAAAGCUAUAAAAAAAUUAGAUUGAUAAGAAGAAAAAAAACUUAAUAAAAGAUCAAAGAAAAGUAAGUCAAUCAAGGUUUCUAUACAUGAAUGUAUUUACAUUACAAAUUCCAUCCUUUCCAAACCUGUAUAUCCUCUAGCAUGUGCCACCAUUUAUCGUUCAUUCUAUUCAUCUUUUUCUUCAAUCUCUUUAUCUUCUUGGCUCAAUUAUUUGUGAGAUACGUUUGUUUCAAAAUCUUUAGGUAGAUAACUUGUAUUUCUUGUUUGGAAAGCUUUUACUUAUUUUCUUGCUAUUAAAAUCUAAAUAGAUGUCCCAUUUAAUUCUUGAAGUGAGUAAGUUCCAUUAUCAUAUACAAUUACAAUAAUAUAUGGUCCGAACCAUCUCUUAGCAAACUUUCUUUGGAUGCUAUGUUGGUGGUCCAAAGUAUUGUCAUAAACCACUAUCUAAUCACCCUCCAAAUUUGGUUUCAAAUGCAAUUGGUAAGUUUGAUCAAAUCUUUCUUUGUUUUUCAAUCUUAUUGCUUUUAACUUCUUCAGUGCCAACCGGUGGUCUUUUGAUAGUCUCUCAAUUUAUUGGAUCCGUAGUUCUAAAAGUCUUUCACAAGAUGUGCCAACUUCUCAAGAUAAAAAUAAUCAUGUAGGCAUGGAUUCUUCUACUUGUAUAAUGGACUUCAAACCUAACAUUAGUUCAACUGACAUGUAUCCUCUUACCAUACUAUAGGUGGUUCUAUUGGCCCAUAAAGCAAAUGGUAAUAGCCUUGGCCAUUUCCUUGAAUUGACUUUAUAAAUUUUAAUUAAAGCAUGUAUGAUUGGUAGAUGGCCUCUUUCACUCUUUUCAUUUGCCUUUGGAUUAUAUGUAGUGAUUAAUUUUAGCUUCACUCCAUAUCUUUCAAAAAAGCUUCUAAUUUCAGCAGCAUCUAAUUUUCUUUUAUCAACCCUCAUACUUCCAAUAUAUCCAUAGUAAUUAAGAAUAUCUUGAAGAAUAAAUCGACAUAUUCUAGCUAUUUUUUUGGUUCUUAAAGCUUUACCUUCAACAUAAUUUGAUAGCUCUUUCCAUGCCAAAAUAAGAUAUUUCAUAUUCCAUAAUUCAACUAACAUAGCUACCAAAUCGAUUAUCCAUUGGAAGUGAAUAGAAAGAGAAUAGGUUAGAUGAAGUUCAUCAUGAAUGUUUGGAUUGGAAUUGGAAUUGGAAUUGGAUUCGGAAUUGGAUUUGGAAUUAGAAUUGGAUUUUGGAUUGGAAUUGGCAUUCAAGGUACGAUCCCAUAAAAUCUUCUACACCUUUAUAAAGAUCUUUCCAUCGAUGUUGUUCCUUGAUCUUCAUGUAUGUAGUCCAAAAUCUUCAGUGUCCAGUCUAAUAUGAAUCAUUGAAUUCCUUCAAAACUUGAGCUUUGGUGCAAGAAUCUCCAACUACUUGCAAUGAUAUGCCAUCUUUUUUUUUUGGUUUUUUUCAAAGAAGCCUAUCUCGUAGAAAAUAUCCAUAUGAAUAUUGCUUGAUUUUUUUAAAAACCUUAUUUCAACAAUCUUGCAAUUUUCUAAAGGUGCUCAAAUAAAGGCCAAUGUCUUUUAAUUUUUCCUCAUAUAAUUCAACCUCAAAAGAUGGAGCUUCUUCUAUUCUCUUACUACUUCAUAAAAAUACAUAAUCCAAAUCUUUAAUACAGCUAUCUUCAUUGUCUUCUUAAGUAAUUAUUUCUUCUCUAUUCAUAUACCUAGCUCUUGAUUGCAUAUCCGCUACUAUAUUUUUUUUGCAUUUAAUGUGAAUCAAACUAGAUUUUAAAAUCUAAUGUAGGCUAUCUAUCUUAGAAUAGCAAUGUCAAGAAUUGAUCAAUUAGAUUUCAUACUGAGCAAAAGUAAACAAUUAGUCUCUAAUAGCACAUUUUUUCCAAUCAAAUAAUUUUUUUCUCUUUGUAAUGCUAUGAUUAUACUCUACAACUCCCUUUUCACUUGUGGAUAUGUCCUCUAGCACUCUAUUAAAAUUCUUAUUCCAAAUCUAAUAGCAAAUCAAUUUUAUUGUCAUCAUUCUAUCCAAUAAUUCAAUUUAUAGCAAUAGGGCUAGUAUUCAUUGUUACUAUCACUAAUCUGUCACUAUCAUAAUUUACUUUUUUUAGAGGUGGUAGAAAUCUUAAAAUCUCUUUUAAAUCAUCCAUAGCCUUAUUUUGUUCCAUGUUCAAUAUAAAUUUAUUCUCUUUUUUCAAAAGUUUAUGUAAAGGCUUUGCUACAUGAGAAAAAUGGAGUAUCCAAAUUUGAUAAAAAAAUAUAUGCUCUAAGAAAUCUUCUCACCUCAAUGAUAUUGUUAGAAGAUUUUAUUUGUAAAAUGACAUCUAUUUUAUCUAGAUUUAACUUUUUUCUAUAUCUUUGAUAUAAAUGGCCUAUAAUUAUAAUUUCUUUAACUCCAAAUUUAGAUUUAUCAAUAGAUAGAAUUAAAUUUACCUCCUCCAAUCUCUUCAAAAUCCUCUCUACAUCCUUGAUAUAUUGUUUUAUAAAUGUUAUCCAUCCAUCCGCAUCUAUAGUCACAUCUUUUGUUUCUUCUCUACAAUCUUUGAUUGAAAUAAUGUCCACAAAUGGUAUAGUCUUUUUUAAUACAAAAUCUUUUAAAAUUCAAUUCAUUGCAUUCUACAUAUAUGCUAUUGAAUUGGUCGUACUUUGAGAUAAUGUAUACAUUUGAAUCAAAUCUAAAAGAGUCUUCAUUGUGGUUAAAUUCUUAUUCUCUAUUGCUAAUUGAAACUGAUUAUAGUCUAAGUACAAAUCUCCAAUUGAAUAAAUGGCAUAGCUUAUAAAAGCCUUAGCCACUUCAUCUACAAUAGGAUUGCAAUCCUUAUUUCUAAUAAUAAUUCUAUUAAUGAAUUGCAUAUAUUAAAUAAACCUUAAUGCCUAUAUUUUUUUUGGCACCAUGAAAUCAAUGAUUGGAAUAUGGCUCAAUAGACUCUUCAAGGAUUUCUAUUUCUAUUUUUUCCUUAAGCAGCUCAAUUAAUUUUGAGAGCUAAGCUCUCAAAUCUGGAAUGGAUUUUAAAUCCCACAGUGUAUGUAGAAUUGUAAAGAUCACCAUUUGUGCCACUAUGUUUGGAUGGACACAUCCUAUCGCAUUAGAUUUUGAUACAAAAGCCUUCCUAUAUUUAGAAAGUAUUAUAAAGCUAUAAUAUAUGGUUGCCCAAGUAUAAUUGAAUACAUACUUUGAACUUGCACAAAGAAAUUUUGGUCCACCUCCACAUUCUCUAUUUUUGUUUUAAUUACUAGGCAUGCACCUUAAAGAUCCCUUCUUUCAUUGUUUGCUACUCUCAAUACCCAUCCAUGGUUGGUAUCUAUAGGCCGUUUCUCUUUCUCAUAAACAACCUUUGAUAUUAUAUUAAUUUCAGAUCCAUGAUCUACAAGAGCAUGUAUUGUUUCAUAUAGAUUUUUAAGCUUAACUUGGAUUUUUGUUGUAGCUCUUGCCCAAUAUGGAUGAGCAUACCUUCUUCUUUUUUCACUUGUACUCUAUUCAUCUAUAGCUAAUAAAUAUGUGAAUACUCUUUCCUUGUCUUUUUUUUCUCAUUUUUUUUUUUCUACUAUGAAAUUAAUUUGUUCUUCAAUCUCACAAGCAACUUCAACUCCUCAUUUCUUAAUCCCUUCAUUUUUAAUAGCAAUUAUUUUUUAUAAUAUUUGAAGUUUAGGAAAAAAAUAUGGUUAGUACUUCCAUUUCCAAAUCUUUAUCUAGGCUUUGCUCUUGGAUAUCAUGAACAUCAUUUGUAUUCUUUUCAUUGAAAUCCUGUUUAGAUUUGGAAUCAUAUAUUGUGAAGAAUAAUUGAGCAAUCUCAUCACCCUCUUCUUUAGUUAUGUAAGUAUCAGUUGUAAUAGCCAUGAUUGUUUCAGUUGUCAUUUGACGUUGUCGGAGGAAAGAGAGCUUGCCUUGAGAAAGUGCUAGGCUUUUGGCUGACACUAAAUUCUCAAUUAAUCAUAAGAUGAAAAAUAUUUCAAGAUUAUUUAUAAUUUUAUUUUUAUUCCUUUUCAUAAUAUUAAAUAUAGUAGUAAUAAACAUCAAAUAUUAAGCUUCUAAUAAUAAUAAAAGUUGUAGCAAUAAAUAAUAAUUAUUGGACCUCCAAUAAUAAUAAAAGUUAUAGCAGUAAAUAAUAAUUACUAGACCUUCACUAAUAGUAAAAGUUAUAGUAGUAAAUAAUAAUUGCUAGACCUCCAAUAAUAGUAAAAUUAGUCAGUAAUUUCUAAAUCUUUCAUAAUUUCCAAAACCCUUUUUGUAGUAGUAAAAUCCUUAUAAUACCAAAAUUCCUUCAAUACCAAAUCCCUUUGAUGUAUUGAACUUUAAAAUUUGAUAAUUCUCAAUCCAACUAUUAGAUUGAGCUCACAUUAUUUGAGAAGUAAGGCGGUACCUUUAACUCUUUUAUAUCCAAUUUUAAACCGACUAUUCUGUACAAAACUCUAAAUAACACAAUUUCAGUAGCACUGCCUUUACAUGUUGACUUACAAACAUCUAUGUACUAUUUUUGCAGUUUCUUACAAACUCAACACUCAAAUGACAUGAAAUUUUUUUUGUGUAGCUUCUCAAUAUUACAACUACACCUUUGGUAAGUUUGAGCCAAAAUUCAUUCAAAAAUGCUCAAAAAAAAUGGUUCAAAAUAUAACCAUCAACAAUUCGGUUUACUUACUAUCUUAAUUUGCAAGCUCUGACUUCGACCAGCCAUUGCUUCCUCACUUUAGAUCUGAUUUUAUCAAAUCUUACACAAUAGUUGAAGUCCUUUAAGUCAGCUUUCCAACUCCACCUUUCGAUUGUUAAAUGCCUUUCUACAACUCUUUCUAAGCUUGAAAGAGUGACAAUAGGUACAAAUUUCACAUCUAGAGUUUAAACAGCCAUAACUCUCUCAUUGCAGACUCAAAGUUAACAACCCUUGCACAAAAAUUGUAUUCCUUCAAACUAGCUUUCCAACAACACCUUUCGUUUUCCAGAAAACCUUCUACAACUUUCUGUAUGCUUAAAAGAGUGAAAGUCCGUAAACAAUUCACACCUUAACUUCUUCAUACAAAACUCAAAUAACAAACUUUAUAUACCAAAAUUAUAGCCCUAAACACAAGCUUUUCGAAUCUCCCCUCUAAAUCCUAGAAUGCCCUCGAAAAAGUGGCCUCUCCUUUGGUUUUCUCUCGGACAGCCCCUUGAAGUUCAUUGGUCAUGACCUAUAGCCAAUGAGAGUGAAGAUCCUCUUAUCCUUGCCUUAUCUAUCCACAUAGAUGGCCGAAGGCCACAAUACUAUAAUAUCAAUAUCCAUAUCUUUCUACAUCUUUCAUAUUAAAUAACCCUAAUACUUCUACUUUUACUAAUAAAACUUAUACAAGUUAUUUAAGAUUUCUAUAAAUCAUGAAAUUCUAUAGAAAAUAACUCAUUAUUUUCUAAGGUCAUUAUUAAAUAAUAUCAAUAUAAUAACCAUUAUUUUUACACUUUGAAUAAAUUACAAUACAAAAAUAUUUUUUUUUAUUAUUAUAUCGAUUAUAAGUUCAUGGAAAUCUUUCUUUGCUAUCUCCAAGGCAUCUCUCAAUUUAAAUUCAAUCUUAGCAUCAAGAAUCCUCUCUUCCAAAAUUUCUUUUAUAUCUAUCAAUGUUUCUAUAUCAAAACAAAGCUUAUAAGCAAGGCCUUCGGUCUUAUCUUGUCAUGUUUUUUUUUUUUUUUUUUUCUUUUACUUGCUUCCAUUCUCUCCUUCCAUUUUUUUAGGCAAUGGUGCACCUUUGGGAUUUGAAGUUGAGGGUGUAGACUUUGAUGGAUGGUUAGUUGCUUAGAUAGAAUCAUCUUUCUUCUUCUCACUUUCAUUGCCUUCGUGAGUCUACCUUUUGGUAGUGGGCUCUCCAUCUUUUAUUUUGUUUGUAUUUCUUUCCUUCUUCACUUCUAACCAAACAUCUAGGUCAUCAUCAUUCUCUUUGUUUUUAUCCAAAAAAACUUCGAUGCUUAUAGCAUCAACCUGAUCAUUCCACCCAAUUUUCUAUUUAAUAGCUUGGGCUCUUUAUAUCAUAGCUUUACAUGUUGCAUUAAAUAGAAAUUUAAUAUUAUUUUUUUAUGCAAUAAUUUGAUAAGAAUCCACAUUAUUUGAAUCUUGAGACUUAGUUCUUUUUGUCCAAUCCUCCAUCAACUUCUUCAUUCCACUUUUACCAAAAUUAAUAUCUAAUAAAAAAUUUAUAGUUGUAUUCAUGAUUCUUCUUUCUUUAAAGAUGAUUUUUCCAUCUUUUAAAGCUCUAGCAUAUUAUAUGUAAUUAUUGCGGCUAUGAUUAGUGUCAUCACACCAAAUAUAUUUUAUUAUAUGAUUUUUUUGCCCUUUUAUUGGCUAUGAAGAACCACUUUUUUGAUCCUUCUUCAACUCACUCAUUUCUACCCUCAAUUCUUUUAUACCUUUGAUUAAUUCCUCAAAAGUACCUUCAUCCAUUGUUUUGUCUUUUAUAAUAACUAUAGAUGGAAUGGAUUGUAUUAGUGGUGUAUUUAAAAUCAAAGAAAUGAUUGGCUCUUUUGAGAUAUUUAUUGAAACGACUUUUGCAUAUAUUCUAAUUUCUCUAGAUCUCACCAUUUGUUAUUUGGCUAGUAAAAUGAUAGAUUCCUCCAUUCUUCUCUAAUCAAUGAUAAAACCACCUUUUACAUUCCUAUCUCCUAAAAGCAUUAGUAACUUGACUUCUAAAGCUUCAUCAACUACUUGUAAAAAUAGCUCAACUUUUAGACCAUCUAAGAACCUCCAAUUUGAUACUGAAAGUUGGCCAUACUACCUUUCAAAUACUUUGAGCAACUCAUUUGGUCCCAUCACCCUCCCUAGGCGUUGUUCCAUCCAAUCUAAAAAAAAUUGCUUAGUCAUCCUAUUGGUAUCUUUGUCAAAAAACUCAUCUCUCAUUCGUUCUUCAAGCUUCACUCAUUUGAUUAGAGCAAUAGUUGUUCUUAUAUGCUUUACUCGAUCUCAAAUCUUUGAUAUCAUAGCCAAAUCAAAAGUCUCCAAUAUUCUAACUUGUCGAACUUGAUGGAUAUCUAUUUCACAAAUAUAGGUUUUAAGAAAUUUGGUGACAUCUCUACUAUCAAAUCAGUGUCGUAUUGUAAUAUAACCAUAUGGUGAAAGAUAAUAAUAUGGAUCUAAUUAUAGAAGAUCCAAGUUAAAAGAAAAAAUAAAAAAAUAUGGAUAAAAGAUAGGAAGGUAAUAAAACUUUUAGUAGUAAUGUUGCCCUUUUAGAAAAAAUAGCUUCUACUUACUUUGUAGGGCCAAAAAUAAGGAAAAAUAAGAUAGAUUGGAAAAAUAAAUGAUAAAAACAUCUUUAGAAGGAAGUUAAGAGUAAAUUCUAGCAAAAAUUAUCUAAAAAAAUUAGAUAUUGAUAUCCAAAGAGGGCCGGUUAUCAACCUAGGUCGAAAUCUGAUCCUAAGGCACAAAACCGAGUACCUAUGGUAACUCGGAGGUUCUUUUGCAAAUCAAAGAGUGGAGUUUGAUAGAAAAUUGGAUAAGGUUUAUAUGAGCAUUGGUUUUAGGCAAUUUAGAUUUGUUAUAACUUUGUAAGAGCUUUACAAAGUUAAGUUUUUUUUUGGAUGACUUGGAUUUUGUGAAAUAAUAUAGGGUUGAUAUUUCUACUGAUUUCAAGAGUUUUGUAAUAGAUCUAUAGGUGAAAUUUUGUAAAUUAAUGGUUAUAGUUGUAAUUAAUAUGUUUUGUGAAUCUUAGCUUGAUCUACUAAUUGAAUUGAGGAUUAUUAAGGUUUAAGUUGGUCAAGGUCUCAAAAAAUAGAAUUUUAGGUCUAGUGAGGGUUUUUAAGAUUUCUUACAAUCUAUUAAUUAGAUUGGAGUGAAAUUUAUGUGUAAGAAUAUAAGACUUAUUUUUUCUAUGAAAUCAAUCGAAUGGUGAAAAAAAGAGAUAUUGGCUUUGAGAAAUUGACAUCAAGGUUCGAAGAGGAGGCCGGCCAAUAUCCAAGCACAUUUUUGAGGCUAUCAUCUAUUUGGUAAUUUCGAUCCUUUUCAAAAAAAAUUGUGCUUAUUUUCAACUUAAUUAUUAAGAAGAAUGAAAAUUUUGAGUUAAGAUCAAUGGUUCAUUCAUUAGUAAUUGAGGUUUAAAUCUAUUUUAGGAAUUUAGAGUUUGAUUUAGGAUUAGGAUUUGGUUAGGGUUUGAUUUAGGAUUAGGAUUUAGUUUAGGAUUUAAAAUUUGAUUAGGAUUUGAUUUAGGAUUAUGAUUUGAUUAGGAUUUGGUUAGGAUUUGGUUUAGGAUUUAGAAUUUGGUUAGGAUUUGAUUUAGAGUUAGGAUUUGGUUAGGAUUUGGUUUAGGAUUUAGGGUUUGGUUUAGGAUUGGUUAAGAUUUGAUUUAGGAUUUAGAGUUUGGUUUAGGAUUUAAGGUUUGGUUAGAAUUUGAUCAAUAUUUGAUUUAGGAUUUAGGAUUUAUUUGAGUUUGUUUAGGAUUUAAGAUUUAGUUAAUUUUUGGCCUAAAGUUUGAAUGAAGUCUAAUAGGAUUUUAACUAAGAUUAAAUUUAGAUUGAAUUUAGAUGUAUUUGAGAUAUAUUUGUGAUCAUUUUAAUAUUUCUUUAAGUUUUUUUUAUUAUUUCUUUGUAAUUCCUUUGAAGUUUCUUUGAAUUUGAUUAAAACUUACUUAGCAUUGUUAUGGUCUUAUUAGAGUUUAGUUAGUAUUCUAUUAGAAUUAGGAUUUUGUUGUUGCAAUUUUUAUUCUACCUUCUA
This 15971-nucleotide long non-coding RNA is filed under the name Physcomitrium patens. RNAcentral's name for it is "long non-coding RNA (PPAT_LNC011020)". The stretch from base 2961 to 3006 matches the Rfam family "Histone 3' UTR stem-loop". The record is from RNAcentral. Lineage: Eukaryota; Viridiplantae; Streptophyta; Bryopsida; Funariales; Funariaceae.